GCACCGCUGAAGAGUCCUAUAAUAGGACGAAACGGCCGUCCAGUGC
RNAcentral lists this non-coding RNA (46 nucleotides) under Schistosoma mansoni. The record is from RNAcentral. Lineage: Eukaryota; Metazoa; Platyhelminthes; Trematoda; Strigeidida; Schistosomatidae.